Caenorhabditis elegans is the source of this 142-nucleotide non-coding RNA. Lineage: Eukaryota; Metazoa; Nematoda; Chromadorea; Rhabditida; Rhabditidae. The record is from Ensembl.
ACUUGUUCACAUCUGUUUUACACCCAAGAAACAGCGAAGAUAAAGCAUCAGAAAGGUUAACGGAAAACGUCAAUAACCAGUUGUUCACCACCACUAACCAAAUCAGUCACACAUUUGGGAGUAGGGAGUAGGGGAAUAAGAU